GACGAACCGUGCGAACGUUGUUCGGAAUCACUGGGCUUAAAGGGCGCGUAGGCGGGCAGGCAAGUCGAAGGUGAAAUCCCACGGCUCAACCGUGGAAGUGCCCCCGAUACUGCCUGUCUCGAGGGAGAUAGGGGCGUGCGGAACUUCCGGUGGAGCGGUGAAAUGCGUAGAUAUCGGAAGGAACACCGGUGGCGAAAGCGGCGCGCUGGAUCUCUUCUGACGCUGAUGCGCGAAAGCCAGGGGAGCAAACGGG
This 253-nucleotide ribosomal RNA is filed under the name uncultured bacterium. Its description in RNAcentral is "partial 16S ribosomal RNA". It matches the Rfam family "Bacterial small subunit ribosomal RNA", at positions 524 to 776 of the family's 1533-position model. The record is from RNAcentral.